This 405-nucleotide ribosomal RNA is filed under the name uncultured bacterium. Its description in RNAcentral is "bacterial SSU rRNA". It matches the Rfam family "Bacterial small subunit ribosomal RNA", at positions 974 to 1390 of the family's 1533-position model. The record is from RNAcentral.
CCUGGGCUUGACAUGUACGUAGUAGUGAAGGGAAACCGGAACGAGCCUUCGGGCAGCGUAGACAGGUGCUGCAUGGCUGUCGUCAGCUCGUGUCGUGAGAUGUUGGGUUAAGUCCCGCAACGAGCGCAACCCGUGUUGCUAGUUACAAGUGUCUAGCGAGACUGCCGGUAACAAGCCAGAGGAAGGUGCGGAUGAUGUCAAGUCAGCAUGGCCUAUAUGUCCAGGGCUACACACACGCUACAAUGGCUGGUACAAAGAGAAGCGAAAGGGAGACCUGAAGCGAAUCUCAUCAAAGCCAGUCAUAGUUCGGGUUGCAGGCUGCAACUCGCCUGCAUGAAGUCGGAGUUGCUAGUAACCGCAGGUCAGCAAUACUGCGGUGAAUGCGUUCCCGGGCCUUGUACACAC